AAAAAGUGUCUUAUUAGGAAUUUUUUUAAUCUGACUUCUCAAUGUGGCCGUUUAUGGAAAUUGUCUUUCUAGGCCGGGCGUCAAUAAAAACUGUAGUACCGAAGCAAAACUGUAGGAGCGGUCAAAACCAUGCUUCUAGACUGGAACCCUGGCCCCUUGGCUGCCACCGAGUGGAGUGUCCGGGCGGAAUAGGGUCCUUGGAUAGUAUCCAGGAGGAAUAGCGUCCUUGGGUAGUAUCCAGGAGGAAUAGCGUCCUUGGCUAGUAUCCGGGCGGAAUAGGGUCCUUGGCUAGUAUCCGGGCGGAAUAGGGUCCUUGGCUAGUAUCCAGGAGUAAUAGGGUCCUUGGCUAGUAUCCAGGAGGAAUAGGGUCCUUGGCUAGUAUCCGGGAGGAAUAGGGUCCUUGGCUAGUAUCUGGACGGAAUAGGGUCCUUGGCUAGUAUCCAGGAGGAAUAGGGUCCUUGGCUAGUAUCCGGGCGGAAUAGGGUCCUUGGCUAGUAUCCAGGAGGAAUAGGGUCCUUGGCUAGUAUCCGGGAGGAAUAGGGUCCUUGGCUAGUAUCCGGGCGGAAUAGGGUCCUUGGCUAGUAUCCGGGAGGAAUAGGGUCCUUGGCUAGAAUCCAGCAGGAAUAGGGUCCUUGGCUAGUAUCCGGGCGGACUAAG
This 657-nucleotide long non-coding RNA is filed under the name Salmo salar (Atlantic salmon). RNAcentral describes it as "lncRNA (ENSSSAG00000096865.1)". Lineage: Eukaryota; Metazoa; Chordata; Actinopteri; Salmoniformes; Salmonidae. The record is from RNAcentral.